CACGUAGGGGCCAAGCGUUGUCCGGAUUUAUUGGGCGUAAAGAGCUCGUAGGCGGUUGGGUAAGUCGGGUGUGAAAACUCCAGGCUCAACUUGGGAACUGCAUCCGAGACUGCAUUGCUAGAGUAUGGGAGAGGGAAGCGGAAUUUCUGGUGUAGCAGUGAAAUGCGUAGAUAUCAGAAGGAACAUCAGUGGCGAAGGCGGCUUCCUGGACCAAUACUGACGAUCAGGUGCGAAAGCGUGGGGAGCAAACAGG
RNAcentral lists this ribosomal RNA (253 nucleotides) under uncultured bacterium. RNAcentral describes it as "partial 16S ribosomal RNA". It matches the Rfam family "Bacterial small subunit ribosomal RNA", at positions 524 to 776 of the family's 1533-position model. The record is from RNAcentral.